RNAcentral lists this ribosomal RNA (1210 nucleotides) under Sugarcane whiteleaf phytoplasma. RNAcentral describes it as "bacterial SSU rRNA". It matches the Rfam family "Bacterial small subunit ribosomal RNA", at positions 161 to 1373 of the family's 1533-position model. The record is from RNAcentral. Lineage: Bacteria; Bacillati; Mycoplasmatota; Mollicutes; Acholeplasmatales; Acholeplasmataceae.
UGCUAAGACUGGAUAGGAAAUAAAAAGGCAUCUUUUUAUUUUUAAAAGACCUUUUUCGGAAGGUAUGCUUAAAGAGGGGCUUGCGUCACAUUAGUUAGUUGGCAGGGUAAAGGCCUACCAAGACUAUGAUGUGUAGCUGGACUGAGAGGUUGAACAGCCACAUUGGGACUGAGACACGGCCCAAACUCCUACGGGAGGCAGCAGUAGGGAAUUUUCGGCAAUGGAGGAAACUCUGACCGAGCAACGCCGCGUGAACGAUGAAGUAUUUCGGUAUGUAAAGUUCUUUUAUUGAAGAAGAAAAAAUAGUGGAAAAACUAUCUUGACGAUAUUCAAUGAAUAACCCCCGGCAAACUAUGUGCCAGCAGCCGCGGUAAUACAUAGGGGGCGAGCGUUAUCCGGAAUUAUUGGGCGUAAAGGGUGCGUAGGCGGUUUAAUAAGUCUAUAGUUUAAUUUCGGUGCUUAACACUGUCCUGCUAUAGAAACUAUUAUACUAGAGUGAGAUAGAGGCAAGUGGAAUUCCAUGUGUAGCGGUAAGAUGCGUAAAUAUAUGGAGGAACACCAGAGGCGUAGGCGGCUUGCUGGGUCUUUACUGACGCUGAGGCACGAAAGCGUGGGGAGCAAACAGGAUUAGAUACCCUGGUAGUCCACGCCGUAAACGAUGAGUACUAAGUGUCGGGAUUACUCGGUACUGAAGUUAACACAUUAAGUACUCCGCCUGAGUAGUACGUACGCAAGUAUGAAACUUAGAGGAGUUGACGGGACUCCGCACAAGCGGUGGAUCAUGUUGUUUAAUUCGAAGAUACACGAAAACCUUACCAGGUCUUGACAUACUCUGCAAAGCUAUAGCAAUAUAGUGGAGGUUAUCAGGGAUACAGGUGGUGCAUGGUUGUCGUCAGCUCGCGUCGUGAGAUGUUAGGUUACGUCCUAAAACGAGCGCACCCUUGUCAUUAGUUGCCAGCAUGUCAUGAUGGGCACUUUAAUGAGACUGCCGAUGAAAAGUGGGAGGAGGUGAUGAUGACGUCAAUCAUCCUGCCCCUUAUGAUCUGGACUACACGUGUAAUACGAUGGCUGCUACAAAGAGUAGCUGAACAGCAUGUUUACAGCCAAUCUCAAUACAGCAGUCUCAGUUCGGAUUGAAGUCUGCCACUUCGACUCAUGAGUUUGGAAUCGCUAGUAUCCGCGAAUCAGCAUGUCGCGGGAGAAUCCUUUC